This 233-nucleotide long non-coding RNA is filed under the name Mytilus galloprovincialis (Mediterranean mussel). The record is from RNAcentral. Lineage: Eukaryota; Metazoa; Mollusca; Bivalvia; Mytilida; Mytilidae.
ACUAGAACACACCCGUGAUAUCACGGGUUCGUGACUGAAUUAAAGUAUAUAACUAUGUGCAAGCCUUAUUUUAGUAUUAGUAUUGUCAUCUGAUAAAGUCAUGCCGAUUAUAAGAUACACAGUUUUCUCUGCUUCAAGUCUUUCUGUUUGAACCCGUCGAACUGAAACAAUAAUAUUAAUUAUUUGGAAAACAAAAGGUCCUGGAAUGAAGUAUUUUUUAAUCAACAGCAUUG